This 293-nucleotide long non-coding RNA is filed under the name dengue virus type 3. RNAcentral describes it as "Dengue virus type 3 partial sfRNA1". The stretch from base 152 to 223 matches the Rfam family "Flavivirus DB element". The record is from RNAcentral. Lineage: Riboviria; Orthornavirae; Kitrinoviricota; Flasuviricetes; Amarillovirales; Flaviviridae.
UGAUUGUCAGGCCACCUUAAGCCACAGUACGGAAGAAGCUGUGCUGCCUGUGAGCCCCGUCCAAGGACGUUAAAAGAAGAAGUCAGGCCUCAAAGCCACGGUUUGAGCAAACCGUGCUGCCUGUAGCUCCGUCGUGGGGACGUAAAACCUGGGAGGCUGCAAACUGUGGAAGCUGUACGCACAGUGUAGCAGACUAGUGGUUAGAGGAGACCCCUCCCAUGACACAACGCAGCAGCGGGGCCCGAGCACUGAGGGAAGCUGUACCUCCUUGCAAAGGACUAGAGGUUAGAGGA